CGGGGUGUGGCGCAGUCUGGUAGCGCACUAGGCUGGGGGUCUAGUGGUCGGAGGUUCAAAUCCUCUCGCCCCGACCA
This 77-nucleotide transfer RNA is filed under the name Pseudomonadota bacterium. RNAcentral describes it as "Proteobacteria bacterium (groundwater metagenome) tRNA-Pro". It matches the Rfam family "tRNA". From Rfam's summary of the family: Transfer RNA (tRNA) molecules are approximately 80 nucleotides in length. The record is from RNAcentral. Lineage: Bacteria; Pseudomonadati; Pseudomonadota.